GAAAUGCGAUAAGUAAUGUGAAUUGCAGAAUUCAGUGAAUCAUCGAAUCUUUGAACGCACAUUGCGCCCCCUGGCAUUCCGGGGGGCAUGCCUGUUCGAGCGUCUCCGCGACGCCCUCACGCAAGUCGUGGUCAUGGCGGCGGUGGCAGGCCAACAGGCCGGCGGCCACCCCGCUGGAAUGCAUAGGCGGACGCCUGCAGCGAGCCCGAGCGUGAUAGGACGCAAAGUCGCUCACUCGCCAGGUUGCCAGUCCAGCCAUAGCCGAUCGGCCGGCAGGAAGGAAACGAAUGCACUCCUCGAAUCAGGUAGGGAUACCCGCUGAACUUAA
RNAcentral lists this unclassified non-coding RNA (328 nucleotides) under uncultured Helvella. Its description in RNAcentral is "sequence contains ITS1". The stretch from base 1 to 105 matches the Rfam family "5.8S ribosomal RNA", at positions 50 to 154 of the family's 154-position model. Lineage: Eukaryota; Fungi; Ascomycota; Pezizomycetes; Pezizales; Helvellaceae. The record is from RNAcentral.